CCUACGGGAGGCAGCAGUGGGGAAUAUUGCACAAUGGGGGAAACCCUGAUGCAGCGACGCCGCGUGAGUGAAGAAGUAUUUCGGUAUGUAAAGCUCUAACAGCAGGGAAGAAGAAAGACGGUACCUGACGAAGAAGCACCGGCUAACUACGUGCCAGCAGCCGCGGUAAUAUGUAGGGGGCAAGCGUUAUCCGGAUUUACUGGGUGUAAAGGGAGCGUAGACGGCUGUGCAAGUCUGAAGUGAAAGCCCAGGGCUCAACCCUGGGACUGCUUUUGAAACUGUGGAGCUAGAGUGCUGGAGAGGUAAGUGGAAUUCCUAGUGUAGCGGUCAAAUGCGUAGAUAUUAGGAGGACCACCAGUGGCGAAGGCGGCUUACUGGACAGUACCUGACGUUGAGGCUCGAAAGCGUGGGGAGCAAACAGGAUUAGAUACCCCUGUAGUC
RNAcentral lists this ribosomal RNA (441 nucleotides) under uncultured bacterium. Its description in RNAcentral is "partial 16S ribosomal RNA". It matches the Rfam family "Bacterial small subunit ribosomal RNA", at positions 338 to 795 of the family's 1533-position model. The record is from RNAcentral.